Molecule: long non-coding RNA, 823 nt
Organism: Lycium ferocissimum
Lineage: Eukaryota; Viridiplantae; Streptophyta; Magnoliopsida; Solanales; Solanaceae
Exons: 2
Source: RefSeq, a predicted model, not a curated record
AUAUUAAUUGGUGCAUAUUUUUAUCGAAUUUAAAAAAUGAUUUGAAGUGAGUAGUUAAUACUAUGAGCAAAAUAGAAAAAAAUAAAUUAUCUUAUCUUGAUAUGAUAAAAGUGACAAGUAAAAGUGAAAAUCUAUUUUGAAAAUACUGAACAAAUAAAAAUGAACGGAGGAAAUAUUUCUUAAUAAUAAAAGUGAGCCAUCCUUUGGAUGGUUUAUAUAGCAGCAGCCAGAGAGAGAGUGCAUGGGACACUAGCAGUGGAUAUAUAUAAAAGAUUUAAAAGAAUAACUUUUUAUAUUUAAACAAUUUAAAAGCCCUAUAUAUGUUGCCUUCCAUCAACCAAGAAAAUGGACUCACACAAUUAGCUCUUCAAACUCUGUAAACAUGGCCAACAAGUUCUUAUUUUGUGUUCUCCUUAUCACACUCACUGUUAAUUUAUUUUGGUCCUCAAACACUCAAGUGAUGGCUCUGCGAGACCUACCUUUAUCAGAAGAAGUACAAGUGAUUGAGCAGGUUGUACAACUCCGAGGAGGAAAGCGUUGUUUCUCCACUUGCUAUUCUCAUGCAGAAUGCGCUAAGCCGUGUACUCUAUGCAGGCAGGCGAAACCUCAUUAUGACCCUGAAAGGAAAUGCUUUAAGCCAAAGUGAUCCAUAUAUUCCAAUCUCAUAUCAUUAAAUGUCUUCUCUAUGUAUUUUAUUUUCUUCCUGCACCUUCUGAGCUUUGUGUCGUUUAUAAAACGACUAGUUGGUGAUGACCCUUGUCGUUAUAUAUGGCCCCAAUGUUAUAAAGUUGGAAUGAUGAUAUAAUGGUUGUAUUUGCUUUAA